RNAcentral lists this ribosomal RNA (253 nucleotides) under uncultured bacterium. RNAcentral's name for it is "partial 16S ribosomal RNA". It matches the Rfam family "Bacterial small subunit ribosomal RNA", at positions 42 to 305 of the family's 1533-position model. The record is from RNAcentral.
GCAUGCCUAACACAUGCAAGUCGAGCGCACUCUUCGGAGUGAGCGGCGGACGGGUGAGUAACGCGUAGGAAUCUACCCAGUAGCGGGGGAUAGCCCGGAGAAAUCCGGAUUAAUACCGCAUACGCCCUAAGGGGGAAAGGCCGGGAUCUAUUUAUAGACCGGUCGCUAUUGGAUGAGCCUGCGUAAGAUUAGCUAGUUGGUAGGGUAAAGGCCUACCAAGGCGACGAUCUGUAGCUGGUCUGAGAGGAUGAUC